GCAAGUUUGAGGUUAUUCAUUCCCUCAUUUCUCACCCAUAGAACCGUCCCCUCCCUCUCUCUCUUCUCUCCCAAUUUUCUUCAUCAUCCUCCAUUGAUGAUCAUAUACAAAGCUUCAUAGAUCAUUUCUAUACCAUAAGCUUCCAUUAAAACAAGAUCUAAACAUCUAUACACUUCAAAUCAAGAGCAACUAUGGAAGGUUUUUAAAGCUUGAAGUCAAGAGGAGAUUUUCAUUUUCUACUCAAAAAUCAUUGAAUGCGAGCAGAGGACGGAAGUGAGUCCACCCCGAACGCUACGAGAGUAAGCUAGGACAUCAGGAUAAGCGAGGAGGGAGAUUGGACUGGUGCUGGCAGGGAUUUUGUUUCGGAUGAUCGUCAUUAUACCGUAAUUAUAUUCCUUGCGGUAACAUCAAGAUGUUGAAGUUUAUUUUGAACUUAAUCAAGGAAUUUACUCCCGGCUAUAUGUCUUCAUACAUAUAGUCUGUUCGCAUUUUGCUGCGAUGCUCUAUAUAUCCCGAGUCAUCUUGAGUAAUUAGCUAUGUCUACUUUGUAAAGGUUGACAAGAAUCUCGAUGAUUUAAAAGUUAUAAAUCAAAUAAUAUUUUUAUUGA
This is a long non-coding RNA of Salvia miltiorrhiza (redroot sage), 608 nucleotides long. RefSeq lists it as uncharacterized. NCBI's taxonomy places the organism in Eukaryota, Viridiplantae, Streptophyta, Magnoliopsida, Lamiales, Lamiaceae. The record is from RefSeq and is a predicted model, not a curated record. The transcript is spliced from 3 exons.